UCCUACGGGAGGCAGCAGUGGGGAAUCUUAGACAAUGGGCGCAAGCCUGAUCUAGCCAUGCCGCGUGAGUGAUGAAGGCCCUAGGGUCGUAAAGCUCUUUCGCCUGUGAAGAUAAUGACUGUAGCAGGUAAAGAAACCCCGGCUAACUCCGUGCCAGCAGCCGCGGUAAUACGGAGGGGGUUAGCGUUGUUCGGAAUUACUGGGCGUAAAGCGCGCGUAGGCGGACAUUUAAGUCAGAGGUGAAAUCCCAGGGCUCAACCCUGGAACUGCCUUUGAUACUGGGUGUCUUGAGUUCGAGAGAGGUGAGUGGAAUUCCGAGUGUAGAGGUGAAAUUCGUAGAUAUUCGGAGGAACACCAGUGGCGAAGGCGGCUCACUGGCUCGAUACUGACGCUGAGGUGCGAAAGUGUGGGGAGCAAACAGGAUUAGAUACCCUGGUAGUCCACACCGUAAACGAUGAAUGCCAGUCGUCGGGCAGUAUACUGUUCGGUGACACACCUA
RNAcentral lists this ribosomal RNA (499 nucleotides) under uncultured bacterium. RNAcentral describes it as "bacterial SSU rRNA". It matches the Rfam family "Bacterial small subunit ribosomal RNA", at positions 337 to 854 of the family's 1533-position model. The record is from RNAcentral.